This 424-nucleotide ribosomal RNA is filed under the name Osteocephalus oophagus group sp. ABGD cluster 12. RNAcentral describes it as "partial large subunit ribosomal RNA". It matches the Rfam family "Bacterial large subunit ribosomal RNA", at positions 1834 to 2439 of the family's 2925-position model. The record is from RNAcentral. Lineage: Eukaryota; Metazoa; Chordata; Amphibia; Anura; Hylidae.
CUUGAGUAACUAUAAGAGGUCCAGCCUGCCCAGUGACUUUGUUCAACGGCCGCGGUAUCCUAACCGUGCGAAGGUAGCGUAAUCACUUGUCUUUUAAAUGGGGACUUGUAUGAACGGCAUCACGAGGGUUAUACUGUCUCCUUUUUCUAAUCAGUGAAACUAAUUUUCCCGUGAAGAAGCGGGAAUAAACAUACAAGACGAGAAGACCCUAUGGAGCUUUAAACUCAAUAACAAAUACUGACCUUACAUCAACUUUCAGAAGAUUCACCUUAAUUUUAGUAUUAUGAUUAUUAGUUUUAGGUUGGGGUGACCGCGGAGUAAAAAUUAACCUCCACAUUGAACGGGACCUAUUCCUGAGCCAAGAACUACAGCUCAAAGCACCAACAAAUUGACAUUAAUUGACCCAAUAUUUUGAUCAACGAAC